GGAUCAGUAUGUCGGUCGUGCUUCGGUACGUACUGUCAUUACUGGUUUCUCCCUUCUGAAGAACCAUGAUGUCAUUAAUCUGGUGUCUUGGGAAAUCAGGACUGUUACUUUGAAAAAAUUAGAGUGUUUAAAGCAAGCAUACGCUUGAAUACAUUAGCAUGGAAUAAUGAAAUAGGACGUUCGAUCCUUUUUUGUUGGUUUCUAGGAUUGACGUA
Molecule: ribosomal RNA, 215 nt
Filed under: uncultured Glomeromycotina
Lineage: Eukaryota; Fungi; Glomeromycota
Description: partial small subunit ribosomal RNA
Rfam family: Eukaryotic small subunit ribosomal RNA (bases 36-215)
Source: RNAcentral